Molecule: non-coding RNA, 99 nt
Filed under: Streptomyces sp.
Lineage: Bacteria; Bacillati; Actinomycetota; Actinomycetes; Kitasatosporales; Streptomycetaceae
Also listed under: 1 other name
Description: ZTP sequence
Rfam family: ZMP/ZTP riboswitch aptamer (pfl RNA motif)
About the family: Previously known as pfl RNA.
Source: RNAcentral
CCGACGGGCCGUGACUGGCGCGCUGGGAUGGGAUGAACCAUCGGGGAGCGGCCCCUGGACCUUGUCCAGCACCGAGUGCCGUGCGCCUGGGCCGUACCG